GAUGAACGCUGGCGGCGUGCCUAAUACAUGCAAGUCGAGCGAACGGACGAGAAACUUGCUUCUCUGAUGUUAGCGUCGGAAGGGUGAGUAAAACGUGGAUAAAAUACCUAUAAGACUGGGAUAAAUUCGGGGAACAGGAGCUAAUACCGGAUAAUAUUUUGAACCGCAUGGUUCAGAAGUGAAAGACGGUCUUGCUGUCACUUAUAGAUGGAUCCGAGCUGCAUUAGCUAGUUGGUAAGGUAACGGCUUACCAAGGCAACGAUGGAUAGCCGACCUGGGAGGGGGAUCGGCCACACUGGAACUGGAACACGGCCCAGCCUCUUACGGGGGGCACCGGGGGGGAAUCUUCCGCAAUGGGGCAAAGCCGAACGGGGCAACCCCCGGGGGGGAAUUAAGGUCUUGGGAUCGUAAAACCCUUUUAUUAGGGAAAAACAUCUUCUUAAGAAAAUGGGGACAGCUUGACGGUACCUAAACAGAAAGCCACGGCUAACUACGUG
This 497-nucleotide ribosomal RNA is filed under the name uncultured bacterium. RNAcentral's name for it is "partial 16S ribosomal RNA". It matches the Rfam family "Bacterial small subunit ribosomal RNA", at positions 28 to 507 of the family's 1533-position model. The record is from RNAcentral.